This 514-nucleotide ribosomal RNA is filed under the name uncultured Intrasporangiaceae bacterium. RNAcentral's name for it is "bacterial SSU rRNA". It matches the Rfam family "Bacterial small subunit ribosomal RNA", at positions 8 to 532 of the family's 1533-position model. Lineage: Bacteria; Bacillati; Actinomycetota; Actinomycetes; Micrococcales; Intrasporangiaceae. The record is from RNAcentral.
AGAGUUUGAUCCUGGCUCAGGACGAACGCUGGCGGCGAGCUUAACACAUGCAAGUCGAACGGUGAUCUUGGAGCUUGCUUCGGGUGAUCAGUGGCGAACGGGUGAGUAACACGUGAGUAACCUGCCCCUGGCUCUGGGAUAACCUCGGGAAACCGGGGCUAAUACCGGAUAUGACACGAGCGGGCAUCCGCAUCGUGUGGAAAGUUUUUUCGGCCAGGGAUGGACUCGCGGCCUAUCAGCUUGUUGGUGGGGUAAUGGCCUACCAAGGCGACGACGGGUAGCCGGCCUGGGAGGGCGACCGGCCACACUGGGACUGAGACACGGCCCAGACCCCUACGGGAGGCASCAGUGGGGAAUAUUGCGCAAUGGGCGAAAGCCUGACGCAGSGACGCCGCGUGAGGGAUGAAGGCCUUCGGGUUGUAAACCUCUUUCAGCGCCGAAGGAGCGAAAGUGACGGUAGGCGCAGAAGAAGCACCGGCUAACUACGUGCCAGCAGCCGCGGUAAUACAAWUCG